AAAAGAAACCAACCGGGAUUGCCUCAGUAACGGCGAGUGAAGCGGCAAGAGCUCAAAUUUGAAAGCUGGCUCCUUCGGGGUCCGCAUUGUAAUUUGCAGAGGAUGCUUCGGGUGCAGCCCCCGUCUAAGUGCCCUGGAACGGGCCGUCAUAGAGGGUGAGAAUCCCGUAUGGGGCGGGGUGUCUGCGUCCGUGUGAAGCUCCUUCGACGAGUCGAGUUGUUUGGGAAUGCAGCUCUAAAUGGGUGGUAAAUUUCAUCUAAAGCUAAAUACUGGCCGGAGACCGAUAGCGCACAAGUAGAGUGAUCGAAAGAUGAAAAGCACUUUGAAAAGAGAGUUAAACAGCACGUGAAAUUGUUGAAAGGGAAGCGCUUGCAACCAGACUCGCUCGCGGGGUUCAGCCGGGCUUCGGCCCGGUGUACUUCCCCGUGGGCGGGCCAGCGUCGGUUUGGGCGGCCGGUCAAAGGCCUCCGGAAUGUAGCGCCCUUCGGGGCGCCUUAUAGCCGGAGGUGCAAUGCGGCCAGCCUGGACCGAGGAACGCGCUUCGGCACGGACGCUGGCAUAAUGGUUGUAAACGACCCGUCUU
RNAcentral lists this ribosomal RNA (583 nucleotides) under Aspergillus terreus. RNAcentral's name for it is "partial large subunit ribosomal RNA". It matches the Rfam family "Eukaryotic large subunit ribosomal RNA", at positions 57 to 655 of the family's 3401-position model. Lineage: Eukaryota; Fungi; Ascomycota; Eurotiomycetes; Eurotiales; Aspergillaceae. The record is from RNAcentral.